Molecule: ribosomal RNA, 163 nt
Filed under: uncultured Carpinus betulus from ectomycorrhiza
Lineage: Eukaryota; Viridiplantae; Streptophyta; Magnoliopsida; Fagales; Betulaceae
Description: 5.8S ribosomal RNA
Rfam family: 5.8S ribosomal RNA
About the family: 5.8S ribosomal RNA (5.8S rRNA) is a component of the large subunit of the eukaryotic ribosome. It is transcribed by RNA polymerase I as part of the 45S precursor that also contains 18S and 28S rRNA. Functionally, it is thought that 5.8S rRNA may be involved in ribosome translocation.
Source: RNAcentral
AACGACUCUCGGCAACGGAUAUCUCGGCUCUCGCAUCGAUGAAGAACGUAGCGAAAUGCGAUACUUGGUGUGAAUUGCAGAAUCCCGCGAAUCAUCGAGUCUUUGAACGCAAGUUGCGCCCGAAGCCAUCUGGUCGAGGGCACGUCUGCCUGGGUGUCACGCA